UUGUAGGCUGNAACCCGCCUGCAUGAAGUUGGAAUUGCUAGUAAUCGCGGAUCAGCAUGCCGCGGUGAAUACGUUCCCGGGGAUUGUACACACCGCCCGUCACACCAUGAGAGUCGGGAACACCCAAAGUCCGUAGUCUAACCGCAAGGAGGACGCGGCCUAAGGUGGGUUCGAUAAUUGGGGUGAAGUCGUAACAAGGUAGC
RNAcentral lists this ribosomal RNA (203 nucleotides) under uncultured bacterium. RNAcentral's name for it is "partial 16S ribosomal RNA". It matches the Rfam family "Bacterial small subunit ribosomal RNA", at positions 1298 to 1500 of the family's 1533-position model. The record is from RNAcentral.